This 838-nucleotide long non-coding RNA is filed under the name Corvus moneduloides (New Caledonian crow). RNAcentral's name for it is "lncRNA (ENSCMUG00000016945.1)". Lineage: Eukaryota; Metazoa; Chordata; Aves; Passeriformes; Corvidae. The record is from RNAcentral.
GGGUUUUGGGGAGGCUCUGGGGGGGCUCUGGGGCUCCAUGGCUGUGCCCCCCCAGCCCCCCGGGGACAAACUGGGGGUGCAGGUGCAGAAGAUUUUUGGGGGGAGCCGCGGCCCCGGCAGCACCCUGCAGACGUCCCCGCUGGACCUGGCCAUGCUGGCCCCCUACAUCCCCAUGGACGGCGACUUCCAGCUGGGCGGGGCCGAGCCGCACAGGGGGCGUGGCCUGCGCCCCACAGGCCCCGCCCCCAAGGCCGAGGCCACGCCCCCCAGGCCCCGCGCCCGCAGCUUCCCGGGGCGAGGCCCCGCCCCCUCCCGGCCUGGCCACGCCCUCCCGCGCUGGGGCAGCGACCCCGCCCUCGGCCACGCCCCUCGGCCACGCCCCGCUAGGAAGAGGCCGCGGGAGCCAAGCGAGGAGGACCCCGGGGCCCCCCUGAAACGUCCCGAGCUCGACCCCCAAUUGCUGCCCCCCCUCGGGCUGGGGCUGCUGCUGAGUGGGGACCCCCCAGGACUGAGACCCCCCCUGGGGCAGGAGCAGCCCCUCGCGCUGCUGGCUGAUGGUCUGACCCUUCCGGGGGCCCCCCCGCGCCCCCCCCUGAGGGUCCCCCAAAACCUCGAGGAGAGCAAUUGAGGGGGGGGGCACGCUGGGAAGGACCCCCCCCCCCCCAAAAAAUAAACCAGCAACGACCCCCCCCUCGGAUGGGAACCCCAAAAUUGGGGGAGGGGGCGACCCCCCCCCCUCCCCAAAUCCACAUCUUUGGGGGGCUGCACCAAAAGCCAUGACCUGACCCCCCCUCCCCUUUUAUUCCCCCCUCCCCAAUUUAGGACACCCCCCUCCCCC